AACCACGCACUGACGACACAGCGCAUGAGAUAUGUGUUUGUCAUACCCUGUCUUGCUGUGACUUCUAUAUAAGCCCGGUCCGCUUGUAAAGCCUCCCAAACACUGCCAGUAAGGAUUACAUCAGGACCUAAACAGGAAGAAGUAUGCAUCUGCCAGUGUCUUCCCGUGAUGCGUGUAUUCUAAUUACCAUGGUGCUGACGACCGCGCAUGCCGUUCCCUGUAGAGGACCCCAGUGUCUAGAGGACAUGUUAAUACACCAAGACCAAGCUGAUAACGUCCUCUACAAAAUUAUGUUUUUCCUACGCACGGUUUUCACUAACCCCGACAAUGACAGGUUGUCAAGGGACAUAGUACACAGGUUGUACAGGGCACCACCCCCCGCGCCCACCCAGAAGGACCUUAUGCCCGAGAAGAAGGGGCGCCCGUACAGCCGCUUUCUAAGGAUAGGUCGUAGUUCUGGCCAGCACUAUUCUCUGGGCGCAGAGAAGAGGAAUUACAUAAGGAUAGGAAAGAUACCAUCGUCCGCCUUCAUGAGGCUCCGGGGAAGUGCGAGACAAGAUGCCGUGGUCGACACUCUCCGUCGUCUCAACACAAACACCCCUAUCAGGGUGGGGUAGAGGGCAGGAUGAGGUUUGCCGUGCAUUUCGCCAACGCGCUGAACAUGAAUGAAACGUCGUCGUACCACACAGUCCGUGUUUGUCCCUAUCUGGAGAACCAAGACAUCGCGACGACCAGUGUUUUUGCAGAUCUGAUCUUAUAUUCAUUAACUCGUUUUCUCAUGUUAUCGGAAUAUUGAUGCAUGCUAGUUCAAGACAAAGAAGAUUUGUAUUAAGGGACUUUACUGAAAGCUGACAACUGUUAGGAACGUAUCAGAGAAGGGUAUGCCAGACUGCGAACAUGCAGCAACUGAAAUAACUGUGACUGACAGCUUCACCGUCACAUUGAGCGGAUUCGUUCUUCAAUGCUGUGUUUAUUUAGUAGUACAUUUAUUCCAGUCUUUGAAAUUGUGUGCCACGCAUGAAGGUGAUAGCCCCGUGUUAGUGAUACAGCAGAUCCGUGCAGGUGCUGAUACGGAGUGUCAUGAGUUGCUCAUGUUGAGAGUCGCAGAGUUGACAGAUGUUAAGACUUCGAGUGGCAAUCUUCAGGGCAGAAUCAAUUGUUUGUGAUUCAAUUCUUCUGGAUUCAUCAGAUAAAUCUUUCUAAGAAUAGUUCCUCUAACGAAGCCUGAAGUCAUUGGAAUACGUAUCUGCACCCGUCAAGGUGUAACCGUUUGCUUGACAUAAUGUGAGCAGGACAAAGUGUCGCUGCGCCACAUCAUGUGAAGUCUUUGGUGUAAGGUUUCUCAAUACUCAAUCUUUCAUAAAACUAGACUAAACUUCCUGUCAUACUCAUAGAUAUCAAUCCAAAUAAAAUCAUUUUAUUCAUA
Haliotis rufescens (red abalone) is the source of this 1426-nucleotide long non-coding RNA. RefSeq lists it as uncharacterized. NCBI's taxonomy places the organism in Eukaryota, Metazoa, Mollusca, Gastropoda, Lepetellida, Haliotidae. The transcript is spliced from 3 exons. The record is from RefSeq and is a predicted model, not a curated record.